AGCCUGCGAAUCUCUAGCUGGUCUGAGAGGAUGACCAGCCACACUGGAACUGAGACACGGUUCCAGACUCCUACGGGAGGCAAGCAGUGGGGGAAUAUUGCGCAAUGGGGGGAACCCUGACGCAGCCAUGCCGCGUGAAUGAAGAAGGCCUUAGGGUUGUAAAGUUCUUUCGGUAUUGAGGAAGGUUGAUGUGUUAAUAGCACAUCAAAUUGACGUUAAAUACAGAAGAAGCACCGGCUAACUCCGUGCCAGCAGCCGCGGUAAUACGGAGGGUGCGAGCGUUAAUCGGAAUAACUGGGCGUAAAGGGCACGCAGGCGGUUAUUUAAGUGAGGUGUGAAAGCCCCGGGCUUAACCUGGGAAUUGCAUUUCAGACUGGGUAACUAGAGUACUUUAGGGAGGGGUAGAAUUCCACGUGUAGCGGUGAAAUGCGUAGAGAUGUGGAGGAAUACCGAAGGCGAAGGCAGCCCCUUGGGAAUGUACUGACGCUCAUGUGCGAAAGCGUGGGGAGCAAACAGGAUUAGAUACCCUGGUAGUCCACGCUGUAAACGCUGUCGAUUUGGGGGUUGGGGUUUAA
This 575-nucleotide ribosomal RNA is filed under the name uncultured Haemophilus sp. Its description in RNAcentral is "bacterial SSU rRNA". It matches the Rfam family "Bacterial small subunit ribosomal RNA", at positions 271 to 834 of the family's 1533-position model. Lineage: Bacteria; Pseudomonadati; Pseudomonadota; Gammaproteobacteria; Pasteurellales; Pasteurellaceae. The record is from RNAcentral.